Molecule: ribosomal RNA, 492 nt
Filed under: uncultured bacterium
Lineage: Bacteria
Description: partial 16S ribosomal RNA
Rfam family: Bacterial small subunit ribosomal RNA
Source: RNAcentral
AGUGAACGCUGGCGGUAGGCCUAACACAUGCAAGUCGAACGGCAGCACAGUAAGAGCUUGCUCUUACGGGUGGCGAGUGGCGGACGGGUGAGGAAUACAUCGGAAUCUACUUUUUCGUGGGGGAUAACGUAGGGAAACUUACGCUAAUACCGCAUACGACCUACGGGUGAAAGCAGGGGACCUUCGGACCUUGCGCGAUUGAAUGAGCCGAUGUCGGAUCAGCUAGUUGGCGGGGUAAAGGCCCACCAAGGCGACGAUCCGUAGCUGGUCUGAGAGGAUGAUCAGCCACACUGGAACUGAGACACGGUCCAGACUCCUACGGGAGGCAGCAGUGGGGAAUAUUGGACAAUGGGCGCAAGCCUGAUCCAGCCAUACCGCGUGGGUGAAGAAGGCCUUCGGGUUGUAAAGCCCUUUUGUUGGGAAAGAAAAGCAGCAGGUUAAUACCCCGCUGUUCUGACGGUACCCAAAGAAUAAGCACCGGCUAACUUCGUG